UUUAAGAUUACAUUUAACAGCUGAUUGGUUUUUUUUGUCGAUUUCUCGCUUUUAUGUACACACACAAACAUAACUAACAAUUAUGCUCAAUUAGACAAAAAAAUACAUUACAUUAGAUACGCAUAAAGAUACAUAUAUAAAGAUAAAGAUAAAGAUAAAGAUACACAUAAACAUAGUAGACUACGGGCUAAGAUUAAGAAUUAACAACUUUGAUGCAGGUCAAACAGACAGACAGACAGAUGGUACAAAAAAAUAAAAUAAAGACACAUUUGGAUGGGAUUGAAAGGGAUUUCGCCUUCGCGAGCAGAACUAUUGAGGAUGGGGCAGUGGCAGUGGCAGUGGAAUGGAAUGAAGUAGAAUAUUUGGGUCGCAACUCGAGGGGGAAACUUAAAA
This 393-nucleotide long non-coding RNA is filed under the name Drosophila guanche. The record is from RNAcentral. Lineage: Eukaryota; Metazoa; Arthropoda; Insecta; Diptera; Drosophilidae.